RNAcentral lists this long non-coding RNA (557 nucleotides) under Phoenix dactylifera (date palm). Its description in RNAcentral is "long non-coding RNA (PDAC_LNC021652)". The record is from RNAcentral. Lineage: Eukaryota; Viridiplantae; Streptophyta; Magnoliopsida; Arecales; Arecaceae.
GAUUUGGCUAAGUCUUACAUAAGAUUUCCCCUCCUUGAUCACGUAAUCCUGCUUCACGGGUCAAGAAUGCAGGGAUUUGGCUUAACCAGAUAGCAAUUGUAUGCUCUAUAAACAAAGGAGUUUAUUUGCAGAAUUGCCUCAUGGGGUGUACCUGAAGAUAGAAGCCAGUUGCUGUUUCAUUCCCAUGCUGAAAAUUUUGUUUUAAUCAUUACAACAGCCUAAAAAGGCAACGAAUUAGCCUCAACCAAGGCACUCAUCGACCAACUUGUCCCAAUCCAACCCACCCACUGGACCCCUUUUGUCAUGCUGCUUCCAUAUUCAGCCAAUGCAUCAAUAUUAUGCAGCAUAUACCUAGGUAAUAUCUGACUUGAUGAUCUGGGCAAUCUCAACAAAUAAAAAUAAAGGCUUGAUUUGCUCCUUCCCGUCUAUGAAGGGUUAUCCAUGUCACCAAGUAACUAGGCUAGCCUUUGACAAUCAAGAGCAAGCAUACCCAACAACACCCAUUUGGGCUACUUUCUUCGGAGUCAAUAGAAAGAGCACCAUCUUCCACCUCAAAG